GAUGAACGCUGGCGGCGUGCCUAAUACAUGCAAGUCGAGCGAACAGAUAAGGAGCUUGCUCCUUUGACGUUAGCGGCGGACGGGUGAGUAACACGUGGGUAACCUAUCUAUAAGACUGGAAUAACUCCGGGAAACCGGGGCUAAUGCCGGAUAACAUGUUGAACCGCAUGGUUCUACAGUGAAAGGCGGCUUUGCUGUCACUUAUAGAUGGACCCGCGCCGUAUUAGCUAGUUGGGGAGGUAACGGCUCACCAAGGCAACGAUACGUAGCCGACCUGAGAGAGUGGUCGGCCGCACUGGAGCUGAGACGCGGUCCAGACGCCUACGGGAGGCAGCAGUAGGGAAUCUUCCGCAAUGGGCGAAAGCCUGACGGAGCAACGCCGCGUGAGUGAUGAAGGUCUUCGGAUCGUAAAACUCUGUUAUUAGGGAAGAACAAAUGCGUAAGUAACUGUGCGCGUCUUGACGGUACCUAAUCAGAAAGCCACGGCUAACUACGUG
Molecule: ribosomal RNA, 497 nt
Filed under: uncultured bacterium
Lineage: Bacteria
Description: partial 16S ribosomal RNA
Rfam family: Bacterial small subunit ribosomal RNA
Source: RNAcentral